GGAAAUCUUAUGUUUUGGCUACAUUUUUCUCUCUCUUCACUUCCUCAUCACUCAAACCCGAGAACCAUAUGAAAUUUCUCACUUUCCCAAAACUUCUUCUCCUCAUUUUGCUCUAACCCCACAUAUGAAAUUUCUCUCCAAAUUUUAUCAAGAAACCUCAAAGCCAAAGCCUGACGGUUUGUUUUCUUCUUAUUCAUAGCUACCCAAAAAAACCUUUACCUUGUUUUCCUUUUAUCCUGGAACCCAAUAAACCCUAACAUUUGCCUUGUUUUCCUCUCAUCCCGAAAACCCAAAUCUCAUUACUCUAAUAUCUUCUUUGCCCCAAAACCCUUCAAAAUCGCAAGAUUCAUGUGAUCGAAAUGGAGAAAAUUAUCAACUCACAACUUCAUGAUGUAGAUUUGGGGACAUGGGGAGUUGUAAGUGCUCUGUCGUUCUCUCUUUAAGGCUCCAAUUGUUAUUCUCUCUCUUCAUCAACAUCAAAAAGUGAAUAUCUUCUUCUGUAGCUAUUCUGAUCAUGCUUCUAUCGUUCAUUUUGUGAUUUUGUUUUGUUGUUUUUUUUUUUGGUUUGUUUUUGGUAUGUUGAUGAAAUUAGAUGUAGUCAAUAAGGACGGAUGGAGUGUGUUAAGGAUAUGUCGCUAGUUGUUCAACGGAUGAGAGAGAAAGGGAAAAUUUGGGAAAAUUAAGGCUUAAUAAAUUAAUAGAAGGUUUUUUUUUUGUGGAUUGUUAUUCUUUUUUGCACUCUUAUUGUUUAUUUUGGAUUAUGCUUAAUUGAAGUCAUGGAUUGUUAGAACUUCUUGUUACUACUAAUUUUUUUAGUUAGUUUUCUGAUGUAAUGAUUUAUGCACUAUUAUUUUAACUUGGUGAAUGGGUUUAUAUGGCCUUGGAUCUUCCAUUGUGCUCGUUCUCAUAUAUUUUUAAUAGGAAUCUAGGACCAUGCUAUUUGAUUUGCUUAUUUUCUUGAUUUUUAGGAUGAUUCACAAUAUGUAGUUACCGGAGGUGAUAAGAUCCCUAGAACUAUUUUUUGAAGGAUGCUAGAGUGGCUUUGCCAAAUUUCUAAUGUCACUAGAUAUUUAGGAUGCUACUCUUUUAAGGCUUCAAGCAUACUUAAUAAAUUCAUGCUUCAAUUUGCUAAGUGAGAAGAAAAACAUUUGUUAAGAAAAAGUUUUAAACUUUUUCAGCAUUUUUCAUCUAAUAAAUUGUUAAGAAAAUAAACGAAAAGGUUGUGGUUGAAUUAGCCAUUGUAUGCAGGGGCAAAUGUAAAUAUAUAUAUAUAUAUAUAUAUAUAUAUAUAUCCAUUAAUUCAGAUAUUGUUUUCUUGUAGGAAAAUAAGCACAAAUUUUCCAUUAAGUUUUCAAUUCAGAUUAUCCAUUAUUUAUUUAUUUGAAUCAAUAUCCAAUAUUGUCUUCUAUUUAUCCAUGAUAUUGUUUUCUUGUAGGAAAAUAAGCACAAAUUUUGUCUUUGAAUUUGUCUUUGCAAGUUUCUGAGUUCUUUGUUGCUUUACCUUUGUUUUCUUACUAACCAAGCAAAUACUUCUAAUUUAUUUUUAAAUUCUAAUACACAUUCUCUUUAAUUACAUACAUCCAUAUUUGGCAUUUUCUUUAUUUACCCAUUGAAUUAUCUAAUGCAAGUUUCAAAUUUGAUUUUCCUGUUCCUGGAUAUCUCAUUCUCCCCGCAUGCAUGGCAUGGUAUGGAAUUCUUUUUCCAUUUUUCUUGCACUUUUUUUUUGUGUUCUUUAUUGCUUUAGUGAAAUCUCAUUUAGACUGAAUGAUAAUUUGAAUGAUUAAUUGUUUAAGGUGUUUGAAGUUCUAAUUUCAUGAUAUAGUGAUAUCUUUAUAUUUUUUAUUUCUUUAGAUUUUGUGAUAUCAUUUUUAUUUUUUUUAGAAUGUAACAACAUGGGAAGGGACAUUGCUUGAAUUAUCACAUUUUCAAAAUGGCUAGGAUUCAAAGAAAAUGAUAGAAAGUAUUUGAUUUUUUUCAUAUACUUUUAAGAUAAUUGUUCCUUUUUUUUUCAGUUUUAUGUUGAAUAUCUGUGAUAAACGAUGACUAUGAUUUACAGUAUACUAACUUGUAAUAAUAAUUUUAUGGGGAACUAUCACUAAUACUGCAAAUUCCAUUUCAAAACUGGAAGAGGCAUAAGUAAUCAAUCCCAUAUGGCAUAAAGCAUUAUGGUGCCUAGGAAAUGGCCUCACUAAUCAAGUAAUGAUGUUCUAGUGACCUGAUUGAGCUUUCUAUGACUCCCUUUUUGGACACUUUUUUUAUUUUAUAUUUUUUUAUAUUUUGUUGCUUAUUUGAUAGCCUUUGAUCUAAUUAAUUUAACAUUUCGUUUUAAUUACUAGUGAAUUCAUUAUUAACCAUAUGUUGUUAGGCGUCAGAGAUCCAUGAGGACAUCCAUACUAAUGCAACUAAUCAACAACUUGUGUUGCUUUUUCUAAAGCAAAGAUGAGAACUUUAGGGUAUUGCUUCAUUAUGCAUUCAACCUCGAUUAACAUUCCCAUCUUUGAGGACUUCAUUUCUAUUGCUUAUAUAUUUCAUUUCUUCGUGUUUCUGUUAUUUCUUUUUUGCAAAGUGGUACCAAGUUGUAGGUUGUUCCUUAUUUAUUAUGUUACUGCUUAUACGAGUGUGUACCCUUACACUUGUUCAUAAUAGGUGAAAUAAUUUGCAUAAGAAUUUUUAUAGCAAUUUUACCUAUUCAUUCUACACUUAAUAUCGAUCUUGAUGAUCCUACGCUAUCAUGGCCAAAAUAUUUACACGUUUUGAUUUUGAUAUUAGAAUUGUUAGAUGAACGUACAUGAUGUUAAGUAGAAGCAAAGCCCUAAAUUUACUUCUAGCUUCUUGGAACAUAGUAGGAAGUGAUAAGUUUUUAAGGCUAGUUCAUUGAGUUUCCAAGUUUAGGUUUUCUUGGGAAGAACUUAUUGUUAAUGUGUGAAUUCAUUCAAGGUAAUUAGUGUAAAAUUUUCUAGAUUUUGCAAGUGAAAACACCUUAGCUUUUCCUAUUACAUUUGUGUUUUUGCAG
RNAcentral lists this long non-coding RNA (3013 nucleotides) under Vitis vinifera (wine grape). RNAcentral describes it as "long non-coding RNA (VVIN_LNC000673)". Lineage: Eukaryota; Viridiplantae; Streptophyta; Magnoliopsida; Vitales; Vitaceae. The record is from RNAcentral.